Cyprinus carpio carpio is the source of this 4872-nucleotide long non-coding RNA. The record is from Ensembl. Lineage: Eukaryota; Metazoa; Chordata; Actinopteri; Cypriniformes; Cyprinidae.
UUGUUCUAGUAAGAGAUUUAAAUGUUGUUAAGUUUUGUUCUAUUAAAUAUUGUUCAGUUUUGUUUGAUUAAAGGGUUUAAAUAUUGGUAAAAAUUGUUCUAUUAAGGUUCAAGUUUCAAGUUUAUUUUAUUUUUAUAACACCAGUGAUGCAUUUUGGACCAACUGAAAAUGGGCCAAAGAAGUGGCAUUCAUUCCACAAUACAAUGAAUUGCAGUAAUCUAAACAUGAUGAAAUAAUUUUAGAAAGAAGAUGGAGAUUAAAAAAGCCAGAUCUAACCACUAAUUUUACUUGUUUAUCAAAUAUCAACUUGCUGUCAGUCAAGAUUUCAAAACUGGUCAAUAUUGUUCUAUGAAGAGAUUAAAAUAUUGGUCGGUUUUGUUUUAUUAAGAGAUUUAAAUAUUGGUUAUAUUGUUCCAUUAAGAGAAUUAAUUAAUGUUCAGUUUUGUUCUGUUAAGCAAUUCAAAUGUAAACUGUUUUUGUUGUCAGCAAGAGUAAGCAAUUCUAAAAAAGUAUUAAUAUAAAAUAUGGCUGUUUGUCGCAAGGUGUAAAUUCUGAAGAAGUCUGAAAACACUGAUUCUCGGUCAAAUGCAUGAUGAUUCAAAAGUACAGUAUGACUUGUGAUUUGCUUGUACAGUUUGUGCAUGUUAUGUACAUAACAGUGCCUGAGUUUGCAGAUGGCUGGGAACCAGCGUUGGUGUUGUUGUAGAUGUUCUCUGUAGAGUUGAUGCUCUGAAAUCAGUUACAGUUGUUUGUGAGCGCUCUGGGUGGAUGUGUUCAGGUGUAGCUGUAACUUUCACUGGUAUGUCAGGGCUUGAGGUCUGAACCAGUGUUGUUGAGUCUGAGGAAAUAGUCAAACUAGAAUUAAGUGUUAUAUAAUUUGUUGUGGACUGAGAUGAUUGCGAUUCUGUCACAGGUGUUGGAGUUUCUUGACUGUCAUUUAGCAGAUUUUCUGAUGGAGAUGACAUAGAUGCUGCUUUCUGUACAUUUAUCAGUGUGCUUUUGAAGUCUGUCAGUGUUGAUGUUGUAAAUGAAGGCUCUGCAGUAUAUUCAUUGUCUGGCGUGAUUGGUGACGAUGGAGGCUGAAUAAGUGCAGUGGCAGCAGCAAAUGUUUGAGACAUUUGUGUUUUCAGAUGGUUGAAAGAUGUAGUAUUUAAUUCAUUAAUAGAUUGGUAGAUUGCUGGCGAGUAAGAAGUGUCACUUAGAGAAGUGUUCUUCAGUUGUGUAGUUGGUUGAAUGGUUGAGUGAGACUCGGCUGUACUUGUGUUUGUGAGGGUAUUUGGUUCUGAUGUUUUGGUGAAGAUAGAUGAACUUGAGUCUGGAGUUGUUGUAGAGGAAAUCAUUGUAGUUGUCGAUUCAUUUGAUGUUAUGGUGACUUGAGUAUGGUCUGAUGACUCAAGCUGUUGUGUUGUUGUAACAGUGGAGUAUGAUGUUUUAGAAGACGGAAAUGAAGAGCCUGUAGUUGUAGACGCAAGCAUUGUUGUUGUCGAUUCAGAAAAUGAUGUCUUUGUGACACUACUGUUGGUUGAAGUUUCGGUUGUUGGCUCAGGCCUUUGGGUACCAGUUAAUGUUCCAGUAGACCAAUAAAUGGAUGUAUUGCUGUCUGAGGUAUGCUCUACUUUAUAUUGUGUUUUGGAAUCAGUGGUGGUAAUGGAAUCAUUGUUUGCAUGAAUUGGAGUCAGUAUAGGUGUCUCAGAUGUUGUUGAUGUGUCCGAGCUAGUUGUUUUAGUGCUUCCUGUUGAACUUAUCCCAUGUGCAGUGGCAGUGGUUAAGGGCUCCAUGGUUUGAGUGGCAUUGCUUUGUUGUUUUGAUGUUGAGUCAGAAGUGUCACUGAGAGAAGUGUUCUUCAGUUGUGUAGUUGGUUGAAUGGUUGAGUAAGACUCAGUUGUACUUGUGUUUGUGAGGGGAUUUGGUUCUGAUGUUUUGGUGAAGAUAGAUGAACUUGAGUCUGGAGUUGUUGUAGAGGAAAUCAUUUUAGCUGUCGAUUCAUUUGAUGUGAUGGAGACUUGAGUAUGGUCUGAUGACUCAAGCUGUUGUGUUGUUGUCAUAGUGGAGUAUGAUGUUAUAGAAGACGGAAAUAAAGAGCCUGUAGUUGUUGUAGGUGCAAGCAUUGUUGCUGUCAAUUCAGAAAAUGCUGUCUUAGUGAAAUUACUGUUGGUUGAAGUUUUGAUUGUUGGCUCAGGCCUUUGGGUACCAGUUAAUGUUCCAGUAAUCCAAGAAAUGGAUGUAUUGCUGUCUGAGGUUUGCUCUACAUUAUAUUGUGUUUUGGAAUCAGUGGUGGUAAUGGAAUUAUUGUUUGAAUGAAUUGGAGUCAGUUUAUGUGUCUCAGAUGUUGUUGAUGUGUCCGAGCUAGUUGUUUUAGUGCUUCCUGUUGAACUGAUCCCAUGUGCAUUGGCAUUGGUUAAGGGCUCCAUGGUUUGAGUGGCAAUGCUUUGUUGUUUUGAUGUUGAGUCAGAAGUGUCACUGAGAGAAGUGUUCUUCAGUUGUGUAGUUGGUUGAAUGGUUGAGUGAGACUCGGUUGUACUUGUGUUUGUGAGGGUAUUUGGUUCUGAUGUUUUGGUGAAGAUAGAUGAACUUGAGUCUGGAGUUGUUGUAGAGGAAAACAUUUUAGCUGUCGAUUCAUUUGAUGUGAUGGAGACUUGAGUAUGGUCUGAUGAAUCAAGCUGUUGUGUUGUUGUCACAAAUUGUGUAUGGUCUGAUGAAUCAAGCUGUUGUGUUGUUGUCACAGUGGAGUAUGAUGUUUGAGAAGACACAUCAGGGGAUGCUAAUGAAGAGUUUGGAGUUGUUGUAGGCACAGUUAUUGUUGUUGUCGAUUCAGUAUAUGAUGUCUUUGUGACACUACUGUUGGUUAAAGUGUCGGUUAUUGGCUCAGGCCUUUGGGUGCCAGUUAAUGUUCCAGUAGACCAAGAAAUAGAUGUAUUGCUAUCUGAGGUUUGCUCUACUUUAUACUUUGUUUUGGAAUCAGUGGUGGUAAUGGAAUCAUUGUUUACAUGAAUUGGAGUCAGUUUAGGUGUCUCAGAUGUUGUUGAUGUAUCCGAGCUAGUUGUUUUAGUGCUUCCUGUUGAACUGAUCCCAUGUGCAGUAGCAUUGGUUAAGGGCUCCGUUGUUUGAGUGGCAAUGCUUUGUUGGUUUAAUCUUGAGUCAGAAGUGUCACUGAGAGAAGUGUUCUUCAGUUGUGUAGUUGUUUUUAUGGUUGAGUAAGACUCGGUUUUACUUGUGUUUGUGAGGGUAUUUGGUUCUGAUGUUUUGGUGAAGAGAGAUGAACUUGAGUCUGGAGUUGUUGUAGAGGAAAUCAUUGUAGUUUUCGAUUCAUUUGAUGUGAUGGAGACUUGAGUAUUGUCUGAGGACUCAAGCUGUUGUGUUGUUGUAACAGUGGAGUAUGAUGUUAGAGAAGACGGAAAUGAAGAGCCUGCAGUUGUUUUAGACACAAGCAUUGUUGUUGUCGAUUCAGAAAAUGCUGUCUUUUUGACACUACUGUUGGUUGAAGUUUCGUUUGUUGGCUCAGGCCUUUGGGUAUCAGUUAAUGUUCCAGUAGACCAAGAAAUGGAUGUAUUGCUGACUGAGGUUUUCUCUAAAUUAUAUUGUAUUUUGGAAUCAGUGGUGGUAAUGGAAUCAUUGUUUGCAUGAAUUGGAGUCAGUGUAGGUAUCUCAGAUGUUGUUGAUGUGUCCGAGCUAGUUGUUUUAGUGCUUCCUGUUGAACUGAUCCCAUGUGCAGUGGCAUUGGUUAAGGGCUCCGUUGUUUGAGUGGCAGUGCUUUGUUGUUCUGAUAUUGAGUCAGAAGUGUCACUGAGAGAAGUGUUCUUCAGUUGUGUAGUUGGUUGAAUGGUUGAGUAAGACUCAGUUGUACUUGUGUUUGUGAUGGUAUUUGGUUCUGAUGUUUUGGUGAAGAUAGAUGAACUUGAGUCUGGAGUUGUUGUAGAGGAAAUCAUUGUAGUUGUCGAUUCAUUUGAUGUGAUGGAGACUUGAGCAUGGUCUGAUGACUCAAGCUGUUGUGUUGUUGUCAAAGUGGAGUAUGAUGUUUUAGAAGACACAUCAGGGGACGCUAAUGAAGAGUCUGGAGUUGUUGUAGGCACAAUUAUUGUUGUUGUCAAUUCAGAAUAUGAUGUCUUUGUGACACUACUCUUGGUUGAAGUUCCAUUUGUUGGCUCAGGUCUUUGGGUACCAGUUAAUGUUCCAGUAGACCAAAAAAUGGAUGUAUUGCUGUCUGAGGUUUGCUCUACUUUAUAUUGUGUUUUGGAAUCAGUGGUGGUAAUGGAAUCAUUGUUUGCAUGAUUUGGAGUCAGUGUAGGUGUCUCAGAUGUUGUUGAUGUGUCCGAGCUAGUUGUUUUAGUGCUUCCUGUUGAACUGAUCCCAUGUGCAGUGGCACUAGUUAAGGGCUCCGUUGUUUGAGUGGCAAUGCUUUGUUGGUUUAAUGUUGAGUCAGAAGUGUCACUGAGAGAAGUGUUCUUCAGUUGUGUAGUGGCUUGAAUGGUGGAGUAAGACUCGGUUGUACUUGUGUUUGUGAGGGGAUUUGAUUCUGAUGUUGUGGUGAAGAUAGAUGAACUUGAGUCUGGAGUUGUUGUAGAAACAGAGACAUAAAGGUCUGGAGAAUAACUGGCAGUAAAAGUAGGGGCAGUUUGGCAGCAAUCUAGAGGAAAGUAAGAAUUCAAGAUUCCUGAAAAUAAAAACAGGACAUACUUUUUCAGAUACAUGUGAUAGACGGCUCUGUUUUUAUUACUCUUGAAGGUAAUGUAAAUAUUGUAAGUGAUACUCUGAGAGCUUAUAUUAAGUUAUUAUAUGAUAUUGAAAUUCAGUACGAAAUUCAUACUCCCCAAAAGUAUUAGUAUAAAGCUGGGACACAGUUGACUGAAUUUAUGUUUUGAUUUAAUAUAAAAG